AUGCAAAUGGAGGUCGUUCACCUCGGCGUAGCUCUCGUCUCCGCCGGCUUAUGUAUCGUGCUUCUUUCCAGCUGCAGCCGACGGCGCAGAGCGAACGAGCCGCCGGGGCCGUGGCAGCUGCCGGUGAUCGGUAGCCUGCACCACCUCGUCGGGCAGCUCCCCCACCGCGCGAUGCGUGACCUGGCCCGGCGCCACGGGCCGGUGAUGCUCCUCCGGCUCGGCGAGGUGCCCACGCUGGUGGUGUCGUCCCCGGAGGGUGCUCGCGAGGUGAUGAAGACCCAGGACUUAGCGUUCGCGACGCGGCCCCUGAGCGCCACCAUGCGCGUGCUCACCAACGGCGGCCGGGACAUUGUGUACGCUCCGUACGGCGACUACUGGCGACAGCUCAGGAAGAUCGCCGUCUCGGAGCUCGUAUCGGCGAGCCGCGUGCUGUCCUUCCGCGCCAUCCGUGAGGAAGAGGUCGCGGCCAUGCUCCACGAUGUUGCCGCGGCCGCGGCAGCCGGGCGCCCCGUGGAACUGCACACGCGCCUCUCGGCGCUCGUCACCGACAUCAGGGUCCGCGUCGUCAUGGGCGACAAUCGGUUUAAGGAGGGCGACGCAUUCCUCCGCACACUCGACCGCUCAUGGAAGAUCGCGGCCGGUUUCAACCCGCCGGACCUGUGGCCGUCGUCCCGGCUUGUGAGCUAUCUUAGCGGGGCCGUGGGCCGCGCCAAGGAGUGCCACGAUACCGGGAACGGCAUCGUCGACGCCAUCAUCCAGGAGAGACUUGAGAGGAUGGUGCAAGGUCAGAUUCAGAACGAGCACCCUGGCUUACUCGACGUUCUGCUAAGCAUGCAGAAGGAGGGAAGGCUCGACAUGGACGCCGUUAAAUAUGUCAUCUUCGACUUAUUAACUGUCGGCAGCGAGGCCACGAUCCUCGAGUGGGCGAUCGCAGAGUUGAUCAAGAACCCAGAGGUGAUGCAAAAGGCGACCGUCGAGGUCCGACGUGCCUUCGAGGCCUGCGCCACAGUAGCGGAACAUGCUCUGGGCGAGCUUUCAUACAUGCACCUAGUCAUUCGGGAGACGCUACGGCUGCACACGCCCACACCGCUGCUCGUCCCAAGGGAGUGCCGAGAGCCAUGCCAGGUGCUUGGGUAUGAUGUGCCACAGGGCACGCAGGUGCUGGUCAAUGCCUGGGCGUUGGCCCGUGACAAACAGUAUUGGCCUGACGCGCCGGACGAGUUUCGCCCCGAGCGAUUUGAGGGUGAGGCGACCGCGGUGGACUUCAGGGGCACCGACUUCUCCUUCGUGCCGUUUGGCGCCGGCCGGAGGAUGUGCCCUGGGAUAGCGUUUAGCCUCGUCGACAUCGAGCUUGCGCUCGCAAGCCUGCUAUUCCACUUUGACUGGGAGGGUCCACCUCCCGAUGAGCUCGACAUGACCGAAGAGUUUGGCAUCACGGUGCGCCGGAAGGCGGGCCUCCUGCUGCGCCCUGUCCUCCGAGUGCCCCUUCCUGGAGUGAGCAAUGGAGAUGCUUAG
This 1515-nucleotide ribosomal RNA is filed under the name Triticum aestivum (bread wheat). RNAcentral describes it as "partial small subunit ribosomal RNA". Lineage: Eukaryota; Viridiplantae; Streptophyta; Magnoliopsida; Poales; Poaceae. The record is from RNAcentral.